Molecule: ribosomal RNA, 1831 nt
Filed under: Triticum aestivum (bread wheat)
Lineage: Eukaryota; Viridiplantae; Streptophyta; Magnoliopsida; Poales; Poaceae
Description: partial small subunit ribosomal RNA
Source: RNAcentral
GGUGUUGUUAAGUUGGUGUGUUACGACUUGCUUCGGCUGCUCACCACACGGAAGCAGACUGCCUGACGACCGGGUCGACUCCGGUGGUUGCGAGUCGCGUCUUCUGCGCCACAACCUAGAGACGAAGAGAGGGGACAAAACUUCAAAGCGGUAUUUCUUUUCAGAGAAACGAAGCUCUCUGUCGGUGGUAUCAAAGAGAGGCGAGGCCACCGUAUUAACGAACUAGGACCCGACGGUCGUGGCAAGGACUGGGCUCUUCUACAAGAGGAAGUUCAGGUCGCAGUUCAGCAGAAGGUCACCCUUGGUUCAAAGGUGCGGCGCGAAGUGACUCCUUAGUCUAUACGUGCUCGUCAACUUGUUCAACGUCCUCCUCGACCAUUCCCUCUUUCUCCUCUUCCAUGCACGUGACCUACUCUAUCUCCUCGAGUUCUUCUUUUCGUCAUUCUUCUUCUUCGAUUUUCCCUCAUCGCCUCUGCUAGUCAACCUGGAACGUGCGUCUAAUCUCGUCAACCUUCAACUCGACCUCCGUCGUUCCCUAAGUCUCUUCUUGUACGAUCACAGCGACCUCCGGGUUUGUUUCGUCGAACUUGUUUGGUUCCAUAGAGACCUCCUCCGGUUCGAACUCUAUCUAAGUGAAGUUCUGUUGUUGUUCUGGAACCAACGUGACAGGAGAUUAGGUUGAUCUGUCGGUCGGUCCUUAAAGUCUUCUUCCCCACAUUACAGGAAGAGGAAACGGCUAGGACGACUCCACCUCUGUAAGAGUAAUGUCGCACUGGAGUUCAACCGACAGCUUCGACUCCUCUUCACGUUCUUUCGGUACCUACUGAACCGCUAUCGGAACUGCCUUGUUUGGUGCCGUCGAUCUCUCCGUUUUUACCUCGAGAGCUACCACGUUCGAGUCAACUUUUUACGUUGUUGACUUAACCUCUUGAGUUUCCGGAGAGACCUUUAGUACCUUCUUUUCGAUGCCAACCGUGUCCUUCUCCGACGGUCUGACUUGAAACUCAGCCUACUCAACCGUCGUCGGAGUUUUCUCUUUCUCUCUCCUGAGUAGCUAACGUAGUUCUAUAAACUCCCCCUCUACUUGUUUCGUUUUCUUCUCUUACUGUUUGACAAACUUAGUGUCUCUCACUAGUCUCUACUCUUAAGGUCCGACUCCCUUUACGACUUCGUACGCCAAUUACUUCGGUUACAUCGUUUUCUUAGGAACCUCUAACGGUCCCAUCUCUUAAGAGUCGAAGUUCUUCUGUACAGACUCUUUCUCUUAUGGAAUUUCUCGUAGCACGUUCUUAUGCUCAGGAACUUCCAUUCACUCCGACGACGUGUCUCAUCGUAAUUUCUUAACUUCCUGUACUAACUACGAUACAAGUCAAGUCUCAGCCGGUUUUGGAGCCGUCUUCGUAGUGGGUAUCUACGGUUCCCUCCGCCGCCCUUUCCUUCUAUACACCGUCGUCUAUUAUACAUGAGACUACAACUUUCGAGAGGAGCAAGUUUCCUAUAGUCCUCAGGACGUUCCGUCGUUUUCUCCUGCUAAGAAUCCUUUAAACCACUGUAUUACUUCUUUUCUUUGGGAGUUUGAGUUUCACAUUAGAUCGUAGGAGUCCGUGGUCCGUCACUGAUUUAUGUUCAUAUGUGAGAUCUAAGGUAAAACAAAGAAGUUUAGGGAACAAUCAACAUUACGAACUGUUUUACUCUACAAGGUUCACGCCUCUUUGGGAAAAUAGGUAAGUCAAAAUGUCUACAUUUAAUGUCUCUUACAUUGGAUAUACGUUUUGUAUGUCCAUCACUUUUAUACUUGGGCUGUAUCAAAGAUCCCCACGAACUGUAUACG